Molecule: long non-coding RNA, 273 nt
Filed under: Nicotiana benthamiana
Lineage: Eukaryota; Viridiplantae; Streptophyta; Magnoliopsida; Solanales; Solanaceae
Description: long non-coding RNA (NBEN_LNC001598)
Source: RNAcentral
CUCUUUCUUGUAAUUUCAAAAUGAUGCAUCUCAUAAUCGUAAAAAGUCCUUUGUUUGUUGGCCGAGAUAAGGAAAGAUUAUAAUAGCGUGAGGAGACUGUGGACGGAAGAUUAUAAUGGUUGGAAUGUUGUGAGGUAAAUAUUGAUAGAAAUGCAAUUUUUUGAAAAGGAAGUAAUGAGUAAUAUGAUCUUAUUUAUUAGCAAUGUUAUUAGAUUUCGGGACCAACUUCUGUAACCAAAUGAGGGGAUAACAAUCUCACCUCUUGCUAUCCCC